Molecule: long non-coding RNA, 697 nt
Organism: Arachis stenosperma
Lineage: Eukaryota; Viridiplantae; Streptophyta; Magnoliopsida; Fabales; Fabaceae
Exons: 3
Source: RefSeq, a predicted model, not a curated record
GAGAGCGGAAGAGGGAAGAGAGGGCUUGAGGAAGAGAAAGGGAGAAGAGGAAGGAACAGUGGCGCCGGAGGAAAGGGAGACCGCCGCUACAGCUGCGCCACCGCCAUCGCGUCCUGCUGCCUGCGCCGCCACCGUCUAGCUCGAGCCUCCACCGCGCCAUACGUCACCAUCGCGAGGAAGCUCAGAACCGAGGGAGAGAGAGCCGUCGCCGUCGCCGUUCGUGCUCUGUCGUCGCUGCCGUUCGUGAACCAGACACCAUCGCCAUCAGAAGCUCUUGUCGCCGCCGAGAAUCCCAUCACCGCCAGGUCCGCCGCUGCCGAAGCCCCACGCCGCCUCUGUUUCUGGAAACCCUACUGCCAACGCUGAUCUACGGGCGCCGUCGCCGUUGAGCUCCUCCACCACCGUUCGGGUAACUGGGAACGUGGCGGUGAUCACCGGAACCACCAUCGGAGUUACCGUUAUUUCAGUUCAGCCGUUCAUACUUGUUUGGGAUUGAGUUACGGGCCUUGAUUGCUGAGUUCUAUGGAUGUUGUAUAUGGCAUCAAGGUGCUGCGUUGUCACCAGAGCUGCUGUUGCUCCGUUUGCUCGAUUAUUCGAUUGAGUUAAGGCUGUGUUUAGAGGCUGUGGCUGCUGCGGGGACGGUCGAUAUUGAUGCUGUUGCUGUGGAAUAAGAAUAGAAAUGCAGUUUUCCGCAUAG